RNAcentral lists this ribosomal RNA (440 nucleotides) under uncultured bacterium. RNAcentral's name for it is "partial 16S ribosomal RNA". It matches the Rfam family "Bacterial small subunit ribosomal RNA", at positions 338 to 795 of the family's 1533-position model. The record is from RNAcentral.
CCUACGGGAGGCUGCAGUGGGGAAUAUUGCACAAUGGGGGAAACCCUGAUGCAGCGACGCCGCGUGAGUGAAGAAGUAACUCGUUAUGUUAAGCUCUAUCAGUAGGGAAGAAAAUGACGGUACCUGAGUAAGAAGCCCCGGCCAACUACGUGCCAGAAGCCGCGGUAAUACGCAGGGAGCAAGCGUUAUCCGGAUUUACUGGGUGUAAAGGGAGUGUAGGCGGCAGUGCAAGUCUGGAGUGAAAGGCGGGGGCUCAACCCCCGGACUGCUCUGGAAACUGUACGGCUGGAGUGCAGGAGAGGUAAGUGGAAUUCCUGGUGUAGCGGUGAAAUGCGUAGAUAUUAGGAGGAACGCCGAUGGCGAAGGCAGCUUACUGGACUGUAACUGACGUUGAGGCUCGAAAGCGUGGGGAGCGAACAGGAUUAGAUACCCCUGUAGUC